UCUGUGGCAGUCUCGAUCGAAAACAUAAAUAUCACAUUUUCUUUCUGUAAUCUGUGCUUGGCAAGAUGUGGAACUGUUUGAGAGUUUUUGUUUUGAUAGUGAUUUUAUGUAGUGUUGUCAAUGGUAGUGCUGUUACAUACGAAGAGUUUUUCAAGUUGAACUUCACAAAUGAUCCUAGACAUCCUUUACAAGCUAAUAUAAUCAAUGUUCGUUGCAAAAAAGGAUUUGUACGAAUUCGUGGUAGAUGUCGAGAGACGUUUCAGUGAACCUGCCAGUGUUUGGAAGAAUCACCAUUAAGAACAUCAUGGACGACAAGUAGUUUUCGAAUAUUAGAGUUAAGAAGAUUCAGUUAACCAACUAGCAGUGUAAGGAAAACUUCACACAUGUGAAUUUUCACAAUAUGAAAAUCUCAACUAGGACGUAUUUUGUUUCAUUGAAAAUAUUGUAUUUAGAUAUUAAAAGUAAUUAAAAUUCAUUUUUCUGUUCUUCUUUCGUACGAGUAUCAAAUAAGAGUAACUGGAAAUACAUGUAUUUAUCUUA
Leptinotarsa decemlineata (Colorado potato beetle) is the source of this 540-nucleotide long non-coding RNA. The record is from RefSeq and is a predicted model, not a curated record. Lineage: Eukaryota; Metazoa; Arthropoda; Insecta; Coleoptera; Chrysomelidae.